AAAAGCAGGGGAUCGCAAGACCUUGCGCUUUUGGAGCGGCCGAUGUCUGAUUAGCUUGUUGGUGAGGUAAAGGCUUACCAAGGCUUCGAUCAGUAGCUGGUCUGAGAGGACGACCAGCCACACUGGGACUGAGACACGGCCCAGACUCCUACGGGAGGCAGCAGUGGGGAAUUUUGGACAAUGGGGGAAACCCUGAUCCAGCCAUGCCGCGUGAGUGAAGAAGGCCUUCGGGUUGUAAAGCNCUUUCAGCCGGAACGAAAAGGUUACGGNUAAUACCCGUGACUAAUGACGGUACCGGAAGAAGAAG
Molecule: ribosomal RNA, 307 nt
Filed under: uncultured beta proteobacterium E24_pH7/50/FL
Lineage: Bacteria; Pseudomonadati; Pseudomonadota; Betaproteobacteria
Description: bacterial SSU rRNA
Rfam family: Bacterial small subunit ribosomal RNA
Source: RNAcentral